Molecule: ribosomal RNA, 32 nt
Filed under: Tricholoma mutabile
Lineage: Eukaryota; Fungi; Basidiomycota; Agaricomycetes; Agaricales; Tricholomataceae
Description: partial 18S ribosomal RNA
Source: RNAcentral
CAAGGUUCCGUAUGUGAACUGCGGAGGAUCAU